Non-coding RNA from Nicotiana tabacum (common tobacco), 1799 nucleotides. NCBI's taxonomy places the organism in Eukaryota, Viridiplantae, Streptophyta, Magnoliopsida, Solanales, Solanaceae. The record is from RefSeq and is a predicted model, not a curated record.
UCAAACCUCCAUAUUAUGAAUUUACAAAAUAAGACAACGAUUAUACCGUCCCCUAUUUAUACUUCACAAAUUCGAAAACUCCACCCCACCUUUCCUCCACUAUCUGCUUCGAGUAAACCCUAAUUUGUUAUCCAAUUUGCUUCUAUCUCACAUAUUGCCAAUCGCUAUAGCCGGCGACUCCCUCUCCUCUCUUAAUCUCUCACUUCCUUCCCCUCUUCUCGACAUCUCUUCGAUAAAGCUGGCAAGAAUUUCGCUAAUCUUCGUCGUGCCUUUGAUAUAUGCGGAUCAAUUCACCUAGCUUGUAGAUAAUGUUGUAGAUACAGCUCGGGCGCUUUGGACAUACGAGGCUGCAAAUUGUCUUGAGGAUGCUUCGUGAGUCUCAUUUGUGUUUGUGCUCCAAGGUAAAUACGUUCUCUUUCCUCUUUUAUGUCUUCCUUUUUUUGUUGUUUAUGUCCUGCGUACACUUUUAAUCUUAAGUAUGCGUGGGUCCGAUUAAAGUGUAAUACUAUGUAUAUUGUUCCUUCUUCUAUGAAGAAGAUUAUGAUUUCUCAUACAUCAUAUGAGGUCACAAAGUAGUCUAAUGAUGAUAUCCCUUUUAUCUAAUAUUCAAUGUUACUUUUUAGCAAAUAUUGGUCUCUCCACAAAAUUAUGUAAUGUUGUCUUUCAACUUAUAUCUUUUGGGAGAAAAGGUGUAGUUUGUUUGUAAAACUACUUGCAUUGCAUGAAUGCAAAUGUUAGGCGGUAAAAAAGGUGUGCCUAUAACACGUUCAGGACAACAGAACAUAAUUUUUUGUCAAGCAGAUAAAAAAGGUGUGCCUAUAACACAUUUCAAAGGGAGAGUGCUCUCACAAUAAGAGACUUUGGUCCUACCUCAAAAGAAGGUUAGCAAAUUAAACUUCGAGUAUUUCUGUUUAGAGUAAUAUUCGGAGGUUUGUGCUAAUAGUCUUAAUGCAAGCUACUAAUUGAUUAACCUGUCGUAUAUAACUUUUUCUUCGUGAACUUUUUUGCUGUUAAUUACUGAAUUCUCAGGGAUUUUACCUGAAGAGGUUAAAUAUUUAAAGGACUCCUACAAAUCUAUUUAUUAUUAAAAAUUAUGGUAAAUUUACCCCUAUGAUUGCUUAGAUGUGCAGAUACGAAUAUACUUUUGAUCAUGUUUCUUUAUCCUCUUCAGCUUUGGAUGGUACUGCCCCUAUUCAUGUGACUCUCAAGCUACUCAAGAUCUUACUUGAUAAGAGGCAUGUCAUAUAUGUCUGGCCUUAUGUUUCAAUUACCUUAUAUUUUGGCGAAUUAUCACUGUACAAAUCACAAAUAUAUUCGAUUAACACCAGGAGUUCUUCGGCAUUUUUGCUCUGCUGCUAAAUUUUUUUUUUAUGUUUUCAGUUACAACACUUAGUUCUUGGUAAGAAAAUUCUUUUAUGUUUUCAGUUACAACACUUAGUUAUAACACCUGAUGCUUUAUAUGGAGAUUGUUGAUGCUAUGAUGCUCGAGAAUUGUAACUAGUAUGUAUAUAUAUACACAUAUAUGUUUGUAUCUUGAUCCAUGUUUGUAUCUUGAUCCUUUUGAGUAUCUUAUUGCUUUUUGUUUCGAUUUAUUUUGUAGGCACUGGAUGUAGCAAAAUUGUAUCAUCACUUGACAACCCAAGAAGUACACCACAUAGAAAUAACAAAGAACAAGUUUAGGAUUUGCGAGAAUUAUUUUCCUCAUGGAAUGUAAAAUAUUACUCCUUGAAAUUUAGUUACAUUUUAUGAUGUAAUUUUAAAAUGCUUAUUCUUUUAAUAUAUGAUGAUUGAUUUAUUUA